Molecule: long non-coding RNA, 2179 nt
Filed under: Theobroma cacao (cacao)
Lineage: Eukaryota; Viridiplantae; Streptophyta; Magnoliopsida; Malvales; Malvaceae
Description: long non-coding RNA (TCAC_LNC003201)
Source: RNAcentral
CAAACCAAGACCAAAGAAGAACAAAAGAAGAAAAGGAAGAGAACAAACCCUAGGUGGAAAAAUUCAAGGGAAAAGUGUGAAAAUUCAAGGAAACAAGUGAAAAAAAGGUAAAAUUUUUCAAUUAAACUUGAGAUCUUUCUUUCCCAUGCAUUUUUCCUUAUUUUUCAUGGUUAAAUUUCAUGUUUUCAUGGUGAAUUCAUGGCUAGCCAAAUGGGUAUGGAGAGAGAAAUGAUGUUGGAAUUGUUUGAUUUUGAGUUAUGUUAGUGAUUAAGGUUAGUUUAGCAUAUUUAGAAGCAAAACAACAAGAAAAGAAUCCAUUUUUCCCAUAAAUCUUCAUUGGGCGAAUCUUCCUUGAUGUGUGUGGGUGAUCGAUUGUUAUUAUUUCAAGAGAAAUGGCUCAGAAAAUGAUGAAUAAUGGUGAGAAAAUUAAGUAAGAAAAAUCACGGUGUUAAUGCACCAUUAUUGACCAAAAAUUUAAAGAAGAAAAGUGAAUAUGGUUUUGCCAAAUUUUAGGUUAUUUGACUUGUGUUUGGUGAAUUAAGGUAUUGGAAAAGAAAUGGAGCAAUUUGGAGCUAAAUAGGACGCGUUGGCCAAUUAAUCGGGUGCUAAGACGAAUUAGGCCAAUACAGGGGAUUAGAUGGUUACCAGUGCAUUUUGCAUUCCAUAUCAUGAAUUAGUAGUCUAAAUUAGUUUAAUUUCGAUUUAGUACCAAAGUAGUAAGUUUCUCGAUUUUGUACUAUGUCAAGGUAGUGAGUCCUCCGAUAAAGGCAAGGAAAUUGCAUCAGAGGACCAGUAGUCAGAGUACUUCGAAAAUUCACACUCUAGACAUUGUGAGUAACCUUACCAUUAUUUUCAUUAUCUAAAGUACGUUUUUAUUCGGUUUUGGUGAAAUUUUAUGAAAAUGAGUUUUAAUGGUAAAUCUUUAUGUUUAUAAACAAAAUGAGUUUAAACGAAAUGAUUUUAUAAAUUGUCUUGAAAUCGAAUGACAGUUUUGAAAAUAGAGUAAUUGGAGACCACUAAUAUGUUGUAAAUUUAUGAUUUGAAUUGAUGGCUUAUGUUAAUGUGUUGGCAUGACUGACUGGGUUGUAUUUUUGUGAACUGUAUGAAUUGUUCUAUUUUACACUUGCAGGCUGGGUAGUAUUAUAUUAGUCAUGUCAUGCUGUCAAAAUUUUAUUGUAUGGUGGGUUUAGCUUGCUGCAGUGGGCGAGUUUCUAUGGAGCAGCCUAUUAGAGGGGCACAGUAAACCCCUUUAUAUUUUACCUCGGUUGGAGAGGCGAGUAGGGUAACUCCCAAGGUAUAACUUUUAGAGUUCACUUCACGCCAAACCACCACGUGAAGGGGAACUCGGCCAAUGCUAAGGAACGACUAUAUUUUUAAAAUAAAAACAUGAUUUAUGCGUACAUAACUUUUAAUAGCCUUGGCGAACUCAGUUGGGAUAGCCCUCAACCAAGGUAUCCCUGAUAACUAAGUAUGAUAAUGAUUUUGGCAUUGGCCAAGUUUUAAGAUACUCAUAAGCCAUGCUAAUGUUUUUAAAUGAAAUGAAUAUUUAUGUUAUGAAAAACAUAUUUGGAUGAAAUGUUUUAUUAGUCUCCUUUUACUCGACUUUAGAUAUUUUGAGUGAUGAAUGUUUACUCACUGAGAUUUUAUAAUCUCACCACCCUCUUUUCCACCCAUUUCAAGUUUAGAGUAGGCUGUAUAUAAUUGAUUCCAUUGAGGGCUUCCCUUGGAUUUGCGUCCUCCAGACUGUAGGUUUAUAGUUUUCCUUACUUCUAGUUAUUCGUGGGCUCACUUGAUAUUGUAAAUUAUAUUAAUUUAAAUACUCUGGUUUACUGUGUCACAGUGUGAAUGAAUAAAUUUAUUUGGCUUUUACAUUACAAAAAUUAUUUACGUAUAACUCUAAAAAUAUUGUUUUAUAAGAAAAUAGAAUAUUUUACUUAAUAUUUCUUUUAUUUUUCUAUUAUAUCCAAAUAAGCAUAAUUUCAUUUUAAAUAAAGAUUUUAGACUUUUAAACUCAUUUUGAUUAUGAAUUAUGUGUUUUGUACUUGUAUAUUACAUUUUAGCCAGUUUCAAAAUUUUGAAAAAAAUGACCAAAAUACCCCUGUGAGACGAAAAUUAUUAUUUUAUUUGUUUUAAGUUAAAAACAGUUUAAAAUCUUUUAUAACGUGGUAUUUGGCAACAG